This 429-nucleotide ribosomal RNA is filed under the name Gemmatimonadota bacterium. RNAcentral describes it as "Gemmatimonadetes bacterium partial 16S ribosomal RNA". It matches the Rfam family "Bacterial small subunit ribosomal RNA", at positions 355 to 776 of the family's 1533-position model. Lineage: Bacteria; Pseudomonadati; Gemmatimonadota. The record is from RNAcentral.
UAGGGAAUCUUCGGCAAUGGACGAAAGUCUGACCGAGCAACGCCGCGUGAGUGAAGAAGGUUUUCGGAUCGUAAAACUCUGUUGUUAGAGAAGAACAAGGACGUUAGUAACUGAACGUCCCCUGACGGUAUCUAACCAGAAAGCCACGGCUAACUACGUGCCAGCAGCCGCGGUAAUACGUAGGUGGCAAGCGUUGUCCGGAUUUAUUGGGCGUAAAGCGAGCGCAGGCGGUUUCUUAAGUCUGAUGUGAAAGCCCCCGGCUCAACCGGGGAGGGUCAUUGGAAACUGGGAGACUUGAGUGCAGAAGAGGAGAGUGGAAUUCCAUGUGUAGCGGUGAAAUGCGUAGAUAUAUGGCGGAACACCAGUGGCGAUGGCGGCUCUCUGGUCAGUAACUGACGCUGAGGCUCGAAAGCGUGGGGAGCAAACAGG